GGUCAAUGCAAUGAAAUCAUUCAUCCCAAAUGCCGCCAUGGUCCAUGCACGUAGUUUUGGCCCACCUAUUGAUUCUUCGGGGGCUACUGAUGAACUCUUUGUUCCUAUUAACGAUGAGGUUGUCAAAAUAUCUGCUGUUCUGUUGCGACCACGUUACUCAAAAGUGUCUAAGACGACAAAGGCAGGAUCCUCUGAACUUGAUGAUUCACUAGUUGGUGAAAAUCUUUCAGCAGAGAGGAUGCAGUCCACAGCUGAAUUUGCAUUGAAGCCUGGGGAUCUUGCUGUAGUGUAUAUCUGUGAGUUGCCUGAAAUUAAGGGAAAGUUUGAUCCCAAAAAGGCUGCUGCUCUUGGGUUGAGACUUGGCCCAAAAUGCCGUGAAUUGCAACUCGGGAAUUCUGUACAGUCAGAUCAUCAAGACAUCAUGGUUCACCCUAGUGAUGUAUUGGGGCCUUCUGUUCCUGGUCCUAUUGUACUCGUUGUUGACUGCCCAACACCGUCUCAUCUGCAAGAAUUGUCGUCUAUACAUUCUCUCACUCCGUAUUAC
Molecule: unclassified non-coding RNA, 544 nt
Filed under: Hevea brasiliensis (rubber tree)
Lineage: Eukaryota; Viridiplantae; Streptophyta; Magnoliopsida; Malpighiales; Euphorbiaceae
Source: RNAcentral